GACGAACGCUGGCGGCGUGCCUAAUACAUGCAAGUAGAACGCUGAAGAGAGGAGCUUGCUCUUCUUGGAUGAGUUGCGAACGGGUGAGUAACGCGUAGGUAACCUGCCUUGUAGCGGGGGAUAACUAUUGGAAACGAUAGCUAAUACCGCAUAACAAUGGAUGACACAUGUCAUUUAUUUGAAAGGGGCAAUUGCUCCACUACAAGAUGGACCUGCGUUGUAUUAGCUAGUAGGUGAGGUAAUGGCUCACCUAGGCGACGAUACAUAGCCGACCUGAGAGGGUGAUCGGCCACACCGGGACUGAGACACGGCCCAGACUCCUACGGGAGGCAGCAGUAGGGAAUCUUCGGCAAUGGGGGCAACCCUGACCGAGCAACGCCGCGUGAGUGAAGAAGGUUUUCGGAUCGUAAAGCUCUGUUGUAAGUCAAGAACGGGUGUGAGAGUGGAAAGUUCACACUGUGACGGUAGCUUACCAGAAAGGGACGGCUAACUACGUG
RNAcentral lists this ribosomal RNA (497 nucleotides) under uncultured bacterium. RNAcentral describes it as "partial 16S ribosomal RNA". It matches the Rfam family "Bacterial small subunit ribosomal RNA", at positions 28 to 507 of the family's 1533-position model. The record is from RNAcentral.